GGGACCGUAGCUCAGGCGGUAGAGCCACCUGCUUUGCAAGCAGGAGAUCGUCGGUUCGAGCCCGACCGGUUCCA
RNAcentral lists this transfer RNA (74 nucleotides) under Acidiphilium symbioticum. RNAcentral describes it as "tRNA-Ala". It matches the Rfam family "tRNA". From Rfam's summary of the family: Transfer RNA (tRNA) molecules are approximately 80 nucleotides in length. Their secondary structure includes four short double-helical elements and three loops (D, anti-codon, and T loops). The record is from RNAcentral. Lineage: Bacteria; Pseudomonadati; Pseudomonadota; Alphaproteobacteria; Acetobacterales; Acidocellaceae.